Molecule: small nuclear RNA, 102 nt
Organism: Cebus imitator (Panamanian white-faced capuchin)
Lineage: Eukaryota; Metazoa; Chordata; Mammalia; Primates; Cebidae
Source: RefSeq, a predicted model, not a curated record
GUUUGCUUCAGCAGUGCGUACACUAAAAUUGGAAUGAUACAGAGAUCAGCAUGGUCCUUGGGCGAGGAUGGCAGGCAAAUGCAUGAGGCGUUCCAUAUUUUU